This 253-nucleotide ribosomal RNA is filed under the name uncultured bacterium. RNAcentral's name for it is "partial 16S ribosomal RNA". It matches the Rfam family "Bacterial small subunit ribosomal RNA", at positions 524 to 776 of the family's 1533-position model. The record is from RNAcentral.
UACGAAGGGGGCUAGCGUUGCUCGGAAUCACUGGGCGUAAAGCGCACGUAGGCGGGUCUUUAAGUCAGGGGUGAAAUCCUGGAGCUCAACUCCAGAACUGCCUUUGAUACUGAAGAUCUUGAGUUCGGGAGAGGUUAGUGGAACUGCGAGUGUAGAGGUGAAAUUCGUAGAUAUUCGCAAGAACACCAGUGGCGAAGGCGGCUCACUGGCCCGAUACUGACGCUGAGGCACGAAAGCGUGGGGAGCAAACAGG